RNAcentral lists this ribosomal RNA (253 nucleotides) under uncultured bacterium. Its description in RNAcentral is "partial 16S ribosomal RNA". It matches the Rfam family "Bacterial small subunit ribosomal RNA", at positions 524 to 776 of the family's 1533-position model. The record is from RNAcentral.
UACAGAGGGGGCAAGCGUUAUUCGGAAUUACUGGGCGUAAAGGGCGCGCAGGCGGCUCUGAAAGUCAGAUGUGAAAGCCCCGGGCUUAACCUGGGAAUUGCAUUUGAUACUCUGGAGCUUGAGUACGGGAGAGGAGAGUGGAAUUCCCAGUGUAGAGGUGAAAUUCGUAGAUAUUGGGAAGAACACCGGUGGCGAAGGCGGCUCUCUGGACCGUAACUGACGCUGAGGCGCGAAAGCGUGGGGAGCAAACAGG